This is an RNA transcript of Nannospalax galili (Upper Galilee mountains blind mole rat), 2238 nucleotides long. It is a transcript of the gene named coiled-coil domain-containing protein 174 pseudogene, with no coding region annotated. The transcript has a single exon. The record is from RefSeq and is a predicted model, not a curated record. Lineage: Eukaryota; Metazoa; Chordata; Mammalia; Rodentia; Spalacidae.
GCAGUCCUCCUGCUUCAGCCUGCCAAGUACUGGGAUUAUAGGUGUGUGCCACCACAUCCAGCUAUUACUGUAUAGACUUUUUAAGUUCCUUAACGGGGUAUGAUGGAUUAUUCUUUGUAUCUUUAGUAGUGUUUAGCCUAAGCUUGCAGGUAGUGUGAAAGAGGAAGUGUCAUGGUCGGCACAAAGGUUUUGACCCAGCAUUGGGAAGUGGGAGUGGGAAUUUUACAGAGGACAGUAAUUCUGAAAGUCAGGCGUUUGGUUUAGACCUGUUCUGUUUGAAGUGAGAGAAUACCCAAGCAGCAAAGGACUGCAGUUGUGGAGGAAUGACUUCUGGUGCCCGUCUGAGCUCAUUUUUACAAAUUCGUUAACAUUGCUUCAUAGUAGUAGGUAUAUGUUGCCAGAACUCAGUAUAAUUUUUUUUUGAUAUGUAUCACCAGUUGGUUUUCAUUUCAUUGCUGUGUUUGUUUGGGUUUUUUUAGUGUAUAUUUUUCUUGUUUUCAUUUUGGAAAACAAAAAUGGUUGGUUUUCAUUUGGUAAAUGAGAUUUAGCUAUCAUAUGCUUAUUUGCAACUUUAAAAAAUAAAAAAAUGAAAGCUGAUUUAUAGACUGGUUGUUAUCAUGGUCAAUACAGAAGCUAGAUACCUAAACUAGCCCUUAAGGUCAUGUUGUAGCUAUUUGCCUCUGUUAAAAAGAUUUAAAAAAAAAAAAAAAAAAGAAGAAGAAGCCUAACAGGAUUCAGAGAGGCUCCUUGGGACAGGGUACACAGGCACCAAGAUGGAUUGGAGAAAAAAGUCUCUGGACAUCACGGCCUCAUUGGUAGAUCUUAAGCCUGAGCUCUUCCGAAAACAAGAAGAAUUCAAACAGGAAAAACUUCUAAAAGAUUCUGGAGCUUUUGGAAAACCAAAGACAACUAAUAAGAAACCAAGUAUCUGGAGCAAGCAAAAUGCAGGCGUUUCAAAUCGAGCGGAGAAGGACGCUGAGCAGAAGCUUGAGGAGCAGAAGACUUUAGACAAAGCAAGGGAAAAAUUGGAAGAAAAAGCCAAAUUAUAUGAAAAGAUGACUAAAGGAGACUUUCUAGAUGAGGAAGUAGAAGACAUGUACCUUGUGGAUUUGACACGGAAAAUCAUAGGCAAGCCCAAAGAAAUGGAGGUGCUUGGUGCCAGGACAGUCCCGAAAUGCAGGAGAGAUGAUGCAGAGCUUUCUGAAAGACAUACCUCCUCCCCAAGACCCCAGUGAGGAAUGGGUGGACUAUGUGGACUCUACUCCGAUCCCCGCGCUGCAUGAGGAAGGAUUUGCCAGAUCUGUUGGAGAUGGAUAAAAACCUUCAGGGGAGACUUUUUGUUAGUCCUGCUAAUGAAAAAACAUCAUUAUCUGAAGACAUGAGGAAAGAACUUCAGCGCCAACAAUGGGAAGAGGAGGAAAUGGAGGCCCUGAGAAGGCCAAUGGGGUCCAUCUACUACGAGGACAUUCGAGAAAAUGAGGCCCGGCAACUUGGUGUUGGCUAUUUUGCCUUUGCCCAAGACAAAGAGCUGAGAAACAAGCAAAUGAAAAACACUAGAGAUGCUGUAUGAGCAGACAACAGAUCAGAGGACAAAGCGAGAAAGCAUAGAGGGAAAGCGGAAGGCUGUGUUAGAAGCAAGAGUGGCCCAGCAGAGACAAAAAAGAUGAAAAAAAUCAAAGGAAGAUGGGACAGAGAAGAAAACAGAGAUGGAGAUGUUAUUGGGCCUUUGCCACCAGAACCAAAAGCUGUGCCAACUCUGCCUCCUGCUGCCCAGAGGGACAGCAUGAGAGGAGGGACACCAAGCCUCGAGUGCCACACGUCCGAGAAGGGGGACCGAGGAAAAUAAUUUUCCUUGGGAUACUGGUCAGAGAAGCGGUCAGAACUCCGGGCUGAGCAAGAUCCUGAGUUUGCCCCACCAUCGGAUUACUUUGUGGGUCAAAAGAAAGCUGGUCCUUUGGGUCACCAGCCAUGGAACAGACUGGGAUCUGUACCCAGCAACCCAGGGCAUUGCUCUGACCAGAGCCAGGAACCUAGCUCUCCAUAUAAGCCAUCUACUACUGCCCCUGAAAUCCCAUCACAAGCCCCCAUAGUAACUUUCCAAAGUCUGGAUGAUAUGAUAUCAUAUUAUAAACAAGUCACAUGACCUUGGGGGAGAAAAGAUUUAAAAAAAAAUAGGGACGACUCCCUUGUUUUCAAAUUAUUCCUUUGAUCUACUGGUUUGAUUUCAGACCUUAAAAG